AAAUUAACUAUGAUAGGAAGAGUAAGUUCAUAUAUUCCUUUUCAGCGAAUUAGGGAUGGUGGAAGCCUAAUGGUAAGUAUGUACUGAAUGACCUCCUGGAGUUGUUUACCUGAAAUUAUAUUAGGGUAAAACGGAGUUCCACCGUUAAAAGGAAAUAAGCGAAUCUAUGAUUUUGGAUUAAGCAGGAUGGUACCGUGGGAUACUACUCUCACUCCUACAAUGGAGUGAGAUUUUUUUAUAUCUUUAUGCCUUCUUAAAACAAAAUUUUUAGAUUAAUUUGGGUGGUACCGCGGAAAUCUUUCGUCCCUGAA
Molecule: non-coding RNA, 311 nt
Filed under: Clostridium amylolyticum
Lineage: Bacteria; Bacillati; Bacillota; Clostridia; Eubacteriales; Clostridiaceae
Description: T-box sequence
Rfam family: T-box leader (bases 1-219)
About the family: Uncharged tRNA acts as the effector for transcription antitermination of genes in the T-box leader family. T-boxes are found upstream of many aminoacyl-tRNA synthetase genes and some amino acid biosynthetic genes usually in Gram-positive bacteria. The anticodon of a specific tRNA base pairs to a specifier sequence within the T-box motif, and the NCCA acceptor tail of the tRNA base pairs to a conserved bulge in the T-box antiterminator hairpin.
Source: RNAcentral